Molecule: long non-coding RNA, 256 nt
Filed under: Homo sapiens (human)
Lineage: Eukaryota; Metazoa; Chordata; Mammalia; Primates; Hominidae
Description: HSALNT0083574
Source: RNAcentral
GGCAUGACCCUGGCCACACAGAGGUGCGCUCCUGUUAUGUACACGUGUGUGCCCAAGUCGCUUUGGAAAUUAAUAUCCUUUGACAGGAAAUAAGAAGAACUCAAAUCAACUUGGUUGAAUUCCACUGUCAUUUUCAUUAAUAUUUCAAUAAUCAAAUAAUUCAGAGCUGUGGACUUCAGGGGUCAAAGGAGGACAUGACUCAUUCUGUCAAUGAGGAAAGAGUACAAUGACCUGCCAUUUGGACCAGGCUUUGGAA